RNAcentral lists this ribosomal RNA (500 nucleotides) under uncultured Glomeromycotina. Its description in RNAcentral is "partial small subunit ribosomal RNA". It matches the Rfam family "Eukaryotic small subunit ribosomal RNA", at positions 591 to 1092 of the family's 1831-position model. The record is from RNAcentral. Lineage: Eukaryota; Fungi; Glomeromycota.
CCAAUAGCGUAUAUUAAAGUUGUUGCGGUUAAAAAGCUCGUAGUUGAAUUUCGGGGUUAGUAGGUUGGUCAUGCCUCUGGUAUGUACUGGUCUCACUGAUUCCUCCUUCCUGAUGAGCCGUAAUGCCAUUAAUUUGGUGUUGCGGGGAAUUUGGACUGUUACUUUGAAAAAAUUAGAGUGUUUAAAGCAAGCCAACGCUUGAAUACAUUAGCAUGGAAUAAUGAAAUAGGACGUUCGAUCCUAUUUUGUUGGUUUCUAGGAUUGACGUAAUGAUUAAUAGGGAUAGUUGGGGGCAUUAGUAUUCAAUUGUCAGAGGUGAAAUUCUUGGAUUUAUUGAAGACUAACUACUGCGAAAGCAUUUGCCAAGGAUGUUUUCAUUAAUCAAGAACGAAAGUUAGGGGAUCGAAGACGAUCAGAUACCGUCGUAGUCUUAACCAUAAACUAUGCCGACUAGGGAUCGGAUGAUGUUAAUUUUUUAAUGACUCAUUCGGCGCCUUACG